RNAcentral lists this ribosomal RNA (500 nucleotides) under uncultured bacterium. RNAcentral's name for it is "partial 16S ribosomal RNA". It matches the Rfam family "Bacterial small subunit ribosomal RNA", at positions 30 to 523 of the family's 1533-position model. The record is from RNAcentral.
AUUGAACGCUGGCGGAAUGCUUUACACAUGCAAGUCGAACGGCAGCACGGACUUCGGUCUGGUGGCGAGUGGCGAACGGGUGAGUAAUGUAUCGGAACGUGCCCAGUCGGGGGGGAUAACGUAGUGAAAAUUACGCUAAUACCGCAUACGAUCUAUGGCUGAAAGCGGGGGAUCGAAAGACCUCGCGCGAUUGGAGCGGCCGAAAUCAGAUUAGGUAGUUGGUGGGGUAAAGGCCCACCAAGCCAACGAUCUGUAGCUGGUCUGAGAGGACGACCAGCCACACUGGAACUGAGACACGGUCCAGACUCCUACGGGAGGCAGCAGUGGGGAAUUUUGGACAAUGGGCGAAAGCCUGAUCCAGCCAUUCCGCGUGCAGGAUGAAGGCCCUCGGGUUGUAAACUGCUUUUGUACAGAACGAAAAGGUUUCUACUAAUACUAGGAGCUCAUGACGGUACUGUAAGAAUAAGCACCGGCUAACUACGUGCCAGCCGCCGCAGUAA